GCCUGGGUGGCUCAGGCGGUUAAGCGUCUGACUUCGGCUCAGGUCACGAUCUUACAGUUCGUGGGUUCAAGCCCCGCGUCGGGCU
Molecule: transfer RNA, 85 nt
Organism: Felis catus (domestic cat)
Lineage: Eukaryota; Metazoa; Chordata; Mammalia; Carnivora; Felidae
Rfam family: tRNA
About the family: Transfer RNA (tRNA) molecules are approximately 80 nucleotides in length. Their secondary structure includes four short double-helical elements and three loops (D, anti-codon, and T loops).
Source: Rfam